AUGGUGGGAAUGAGGAAAGAUCCUAAGCUUGGAGAUGGUGCCGGUAGAACUUACGAAGUCACCAAAAACCAAAUCCAACACUCACCGAGGUAGGUGGACGGAAAAAGGAUGAUUUUUGAGUAGGAGAUUAGAGACCUUUAUUUUGAUGUCUCUUUACCCAUUAUUUUGUAACUUCAAUUGAUUAUAAUUGAAUUAACUAAUUGC
This is a non-coding RNA of Lupinus albus (white lupine), 204 nucleotides long. NCBI's taxonomy places the organism in Eukaryota, Viridiplantae, Streptophyta, Magnoliopsida, Fabales, Fabaceae. The record is from the annotation of a GenBank genome assembly.